CAAUUGAACGAUGCUAAUACCCAUAUGCUUUCGAGUGAAAUGGAUUUAUAUUUAUCCGCCUAGAGAGAAGCUCGCGGCUGAUUAGCUUGUUGGUAAGGUAAGAGCUUACCAAGGCGACGAUCAGUAUCUGGUUUGAGAGGACGAUCAGACACACUGGAACUGAGACACGGUCCAGACUCCUACGGGAGGCAGCAGUGGGGAAUUUUCCGCAAUGGGCGAAAGCCUGACGGAGCAAUACCGCGUGAGGGAAGACUGCCUAUGGGUUGUAAACCUCUUUUUUCAGGGAGGAAUCAAU
This 295-nucleotide ribosomal RNA is filed under the name uncultured cyanobacterium. RNAcentral's name for it is "partial 16S ribosomal RNA". It matches the Rfam family "Bacterial small subunit ribosomal RNA", at positions 147 to 454 of the family's 1533-position model. Lineage: Bacteria; Bacillati; Cyanobacteriota. The record is from RNAcentral.